AUUUAUUUUCCAAACCUUAAACACUUUAAAAGAAUGUAAUCAUUCUCUUUCUCUCUCCUGGGAAAUGCAUUUUCUCUCUUACCAAAAGGAAAAAACACAGCCAUGUUUUUGCAGAUCACUGAAUCUGCAAAACGGAAAGUGCAAUUUAAUGAUCAGUUCAAAAAUUUGUUGUUGUGCUAUAUGCGUACGGCGACCUGCAGCAUUUUGAUUUGCGUCUUGAAAUUGGAGUCCACCUUUUUGCGUGGAAACCAGUUGAUAGGAGAAAACUCUUACGAUGAGUGAGCUUCUUAAUUUACGACGUAAAUUUGUUGAGAGGAUUCGAUGUUGAUUGGCCAAUUUGCAGAUUUAUACUGCAUUAUUCAAGAGAAGAAAUAGAAUGUCCACCGCCUUUCGCUCAUUGAUGUCGAUGGCUUCAAGAUGAGUUCACAAAUGUAGGGUUGCAGAUUCGAGAGGAACAUAUUCAAGUUCUGCUCCGACAGAUGCAGGUGAGUGAUUUCAAUUCUUAAUUCACUGCUUUCAUCAUAGAAAUUUACAACUACGAGGCUUUGGGAUUAAUUUCUCCAUUUCUUUUCAUUCUGCUGCAUGAUUACUACUUAUUGAUUGAAUAAUGGAAAUAUUUUGUCGUAGUUGUCCACUAAACAUGGUAGAAAUUCCAGAGAAAAUUAGAAAUUCCAAGGUCUAAUAUCUGAAACUGACGUUAAAUUUCAAUUAUUUUGGCUGUUCCAUGCCGUUCUUGUUGUGAGAUUGGAAACUGACAACUUGAAAGAUAGUUAGAAAUGAAUUUUGAAUUCCAAAUGGUUAACUUUGCUACUGAGGAGAUAUUGACUUACCGACAGAAAUUGAUUUAUCAAAAAUUCUAAUGAGUCUCAGUUUUUGUUCUGGCUGAGAUUGUCUUUCCAAUUCUGCAUUGCUACCUCAGAACAUUAAAAUUGAUGUUUUUAUGCUGGAAACUGAUACUUGUUUGUGAAACUUAGCACCUCAGUGCAAUGGAAAAGUGUAAUUGAAAUGAAGAAAUUCUAUCCUAAAACCCCACCUACCUAUCCGACUCUCGUGAAGCAAUCUCUAACACUAGGCACUAUUUUAAUACUAAUAAGAAUAUUUUAUUCAUAUUCUUCCCCCACCUUAAUAUUAUAUUAUUUGUUUUACCCUAAUCUUAUUUAUUCAUUCACUCAAAAAUUUCAUAUCAUUUUAUAUAUCUACCUCAUAUAUUUAUAUAUAACCUUAUUACUCUCAUAAAUGCUCUAUUAAUGCAUUAGAAAGUGCAAAAUGAAUAUCUUUAUUCUUAAUUUUUUUUGUGUCAAACCAAAAAUUGUUCAAAUAGGGUAGUUUCAUCGACAACCAUUUCAAUAGUUGGAGCUGAAAAUUCUCUAUCGUCUUUAAAAUGCAUUCAGAUCACGUUCAUGCUCGAUUAUCAUAUGCUAAUACAUCUUUAUUCUUAAUUUUUUUUGUGUCAAGCCAAAAAUUGUUCAAAUAGAGUAGUUUUAUCGACAACUAGUGCAAUAGUUGGAGCUGAAAAUUCCCUAUUGUCUUCAAAAUGUAUUCAGAUCACAUUCAUCCUCGAUUAUGAUAUGCUAAUACAUGUAGUUAAUAUAUCAUACAAUACUUCUUUUUUCUAAAAACAUGAUGGCCCUGCAACUAUUGCAAAACGUGACCGCAACACUCUAAAAGCACGUUCAACAUCUUUUUGACAUGAUUUUUUUUUCAUUGCAAAAUACCUCUUUUUCUUUAUUUGUAGUUCACGAAUAGUUUACAUAAUAAGCAGAGGAGUAAUACAAAGCAAGAUUGGAAAAUAAAUGCAAUGACUCCAAAAACAUUAAUAUCAUUAUUAGAGCUAAACAUUCUAAAAUAUGCGUCCAUAUCCAAAGGUCAUAAUCAGUGACAGCUUCUAAAAUGAUUGUUGGUGAUCCACUACAACCAGUAUAUUGGUCAGCCUAUGCAGUAGGACAAUUUUUCCAUUUCCAAUGCAUGCAAUAACUACCUAAUAUUCCUGGAAAGUCACGUUGCUCACCAAUAUAGAAGAAGUCUCGCCACAUCAUGUGCAUGUAUCAUAUUUGAAAACAUAAAGAGCCCUCAUCAAAUGUUCCAGUAUGGUCAACAUAACAUGUCUCAAGUUCAGUUCAAACAUAAAAUGAAACUCAGAAUUAUGGGGGUAUUCAAUACUCUGCAAUAAAAGAGGAAUUGGUCUAUGGUCGAUGCAGUAGCAAAUAAAUAGGAAUUUCUGGUUGUACCUUGUGAAACCCGACUUAUUUCUUUUAUUUUGUGGAAUUAAUCAUUCCCUUUAUUUUUAUUUUAGAAUUUUAGAAAUAG
Manihot esculenta (cassava) is the source of this 2307-nucleotide long non-coding RNA. RefSeq lists it as uncharacterized. The transcript is spliced from 3 exons. Lineage: Eukaryota; Viridiplantae; Streptophyta; Magnoliopsida; Malpighiales; Euphorbiaceae. The record is from RefSeq and is a predicted model, not a curated record.